GGAAUUUUGGACAAUGGGCGCAAGCCUGAUCCAGCAAUGCCGCGUGAGUGAAGAAGGCCUUCGGGUUGUAAAGCUCUUUUGUCAGGGAAGAAACGGGUUUUUCUAAUACAGAGACCUAAUGACGGUACCUGAAGAAUAAGCACCGGCUAACUACGUGCCAGCAGCCGCGGUAAUACGUAGGGUGCAAGCGUUAAUCGGAAUUACUGGGCGUAAAGCGUGCGCAGGCGGUUUUGUAAGACUGUCGUGAAAUCCCCGGGCUCAACCUGGGAAUGGCGAUGGUGACUGCAAGGCUAGAGUUUGGCAGAGGGGGGUAGAAUUCCACGUGUAGCAGUGAAAUGCGUAGAUAUGUGGAGGAACACCGAUGGCGAAGGCAGCCCCCUGGGUCAAAACUGACGCUCAUGCACGAAAGCGUGGGGAGCAAACAGGAUUAGAUACCCCUG
Molecule: ribosomal RNA, 440 nt
Filed under: uncultured Duganella sp.
Lineage: Bacteria; Pseudomonadati; Pseudomonadota; Betaproteobacteria; Burkholderiales; Oxalobacteraceae
Description: bacterial SSU rRNA
Rfam family: Bacterial small subunit ribosomal RNA
Source: RNAcentral